GACGUAGGGCGCGAGCGUUGUCCGGAUUAUUGGGCGUAAAGAGCUCGUAGGCGGCUUGUCGCGUCGAAUGUGAAAUCUCAGGGCUCAACUCUGACAUUGCAUUCGAUACGGGCAGGCUCGAGUUCGGUAGGGGAGACUGGAAUUCCUGGUGUAGCGGUGAAAUGCGCAGAUAUCAGGAGGAACACCGGUGGCGAAGGCGGUUCUCUGGGCCUGACCUGACGCUGAGGAGCGAAAGCGUGGGGAGCGAACAGG
Molecule: ribosomal RNA, 252 nt
Filed under: uncultured bacterium
Lineage: Bacteria
Description: partial 16S ribosomal RNA
Rfam family: Bacterial small subunit ribosomal RNA
Source: RNAcentral